This 287-nucleotide ribosomal RNA is filed under the name uncultured bacterium. Its description in RNAcentral is "partial 16S ribosomal RNA". It matches the Rfam family "Bacterial small subunit ribosomal RNA", at positions 488 to 776 of the family's 1533-position model. The record is from RNAcentral.
AGCCCGCUCAGGUGUGCCCAGCCGCCGCGGUAAUACGGAGGAUGCGAGCGUUAUCCGGAUUUAUUGGGUUUAAAGGGUGCGUAGGUGGUUAAUUAAGUCAGCGGUUGAAAGUUUGUGGCUCAACCAUAAAAUUGCCGUUGAAACUGGUUGACUUGAGUAUAUUUGAGGUAGGCGGAAUGCGUGGUGUAGCGGUGAAAUGCAUAGAUAUCACGCAGAACUCCGAUUGCGAAGGCAGCUUACUAAACUAUAACUGACACUGAAGCACGAAAGCGUGGGGAUCAAACAGG